CUUUUAAUGACAUCUUUGAGAACCCGACUUGCAAUACGUCUAGAGUCAACUAGUAAUAUUCUUCAGUAUGGUUUAAUGUUCACUAUAUCUUCAUAUUUUCAAUAAAAUUUUUGUUAAACAUACGUAUGCCUCAGCAGAAAUAAUACAAACUUAAUUGUUUUCAGCUUUUACUCCAGUUCAGAAUGGACGUGUAAUUAGUGAGACAGUCCUUGUUACUUUUAUUUUAGCUUUGUUACACCCAUUUUUAGUGUAUUUUCCUUGUAUUUUACGUUUACCAAGGUCAAUGAGCAAAGAUGUCACAAAAAAAAAGCAAGACCUAAAAACCUGUGAAGAAUUUUUCGAGGUUGCAUUUUUCUUUAUCGAAUUUUAUAAUGAAUGUUAAGUAUUUAAUUUUAUUCUAAAGAAACAAGAGACUUGCUCUGAACAAUUUCACACAUGGCCGUUUUGGCUUACUCCUCGCAUGGAGAAUUGGUCUGACAGCAUGGAUCUACAAAUAUGUUUACCCUGUCAAUCUCAUUUUGAAAAAACAGUCCAGCUAUGCCAAUGCUAGUGAAGGUAAAAUGAAGAUAUAAUAUGAAUUUGUAACAUAGUGGUAAAAUAGUGCUGAGUCCGUACUUACUACUUACUUGCGGGGAAAGUAAGGCCAAAAAGUUCAAAAAUUGUUUCUUAAAUUACAGCGUUAUUGAAGCGCUCCCCUACAGAAUUGGAAAAAAACUAAAAUCAUCAGCUUGUGUAAUUUGUACUGUAGAGCGGCAAAGUCGCUAACUCAUUUUUGCCAAAGUUGUCAGUUAGGCGGUGUUUUUCAUUAGCCCUCGAUAUGCUUUACUAUCACUUACUUUUUUGUUUUGUUACAGAGAACUUCGUAAAAUAUUUCCAAAUCUGAAAGUCUUGGAUAAUGUAGAAUUGAAACCGGUUAUAUCAUUUGACACGAAGACCCCAAAAAAACUGUUACCCCCUCAAGAGGUUUUCUCUUGUGGUAUAGCCCAUCUAGAGAUUGUCGAUCGAUUCAUUCAUGAAUACUUUCAAAUUUAUGAUAGCAACAACAGAAUACAGUUACUAGAAGCAUAUGAUCUUACUUCCCAAUUUAGCUUAUCAUACCAUUUGCCAACUCACUGUGAAAACGCAAAGAGCAUGCUGUACAGUGAUGGAAAUAUUGAAGAUUACCUUGAAUUGAAUCGAAACUUGUGCGAAGUCAAGAAUAAGUUCACAGGAAAGAUAGAUUAUACUACGGCAAAGAAAAUAUAA
This 1245-nucleotide long non-coding RNA is filed under the name Bemisia tabaci. RNAcentral describes it as "lncRNA ENSSSA3NGG013433". The record is from RNAcentral. Lineage: Eukaryota; Metazoa; Arthropoda; Insecta; Hemiptera; Aleyrodidae.